ACUCCUACGGGAGGCAGCAGUGGGGAAUAUUGGACAAUGGGCGCAAGCCUGAUCCAGCAAUGCCGCGUGUGUGAAGAAGGCCUUCGGGUUGUAAAGCACUUUUAUCAGGAGCGAAAUACUACCGGCUAAUAUCCGGUGGGGCUGACGGUACCUGAGGAAUAAGCACCGGCUAACUUCGUGCCAGCAGCCGCGGUAAUACGAAGGGUGCAAGCGUUAAUCGGAAUUACUGGGCGUAAAGCGUGCGUAGGCGGUUUGUUAAGUCUGCUGUGAAAUCCCCGGGCUCAACCUGGGAAUGGCAGUGGAUACUGGCAAGCUAGAGUGUGUCAGAGGAUGGUGGAAUUCCCGGUGUAGCGGUGAAAUGCGUAGAGAUCGGGAGGAACAUCAGUGGCGAAGGCGGCCAUCUGGGACAACACUGACGCUGAGGCACGAAAGCUGGGGGAGCAAACGGGAUUAGAUACCCCAGUAGUCC
Molecule: ribosomal RNA, 469 nt
Filed under: uncultured bacterium
Lineage: Bacteria
Description: bacterial SSU rRNA
Rfam family: Bacterial small subunit ribosomal RNA
Source: RNAcentral